This 311-nucleotide ribosomal RNA is filed under the name Aphanomyces euteiches. RNAcentral's name for it is "partial large subunit ribosomal RNA". It matches the Rfam family "Bacterial large subunit ribosomal RNA", at positions 1443 to 1772 of the family's 2925-position model. Lineage: Eukaryota; Oomycota; Saprolegniomycetes; Saprolegniales; Verrucalvaceae. The record is from RNAcentral.
AUUAUUUAAUAAAUAAUAAGACAAUAAAUUUCGAGAGAUUACUCGAACGCUAAGUAAUCAAAAACAUAAAAAGGAAAUGCGCAAUUCAUAGAACUUAAAUGCUUCAUAGUUAUAAUGUAAAUUUAUUUAUAUUAUAGUUAAUUUGAAUUGAUAGCCAACCUCGUUUUUAUUUUUAAAUAACCGUACCCUAAACCGACACAGGUGGAUAGGUCGAAUAGACUAAGGUGUAUGAGAUAAUUAUGUUGAAGGAACUCGGCAAAAUGACUCUGUAACUUCGGGAGAAAGAGUACCUAUUUAUAAUAAUAUAGAAG